UUGAAGUUGAAUAACUAUGGAGGACGUUGGAUGGAACUUAGCUCCUCUUCCUGCUGUAGGUGAUACUUGUUUUAGGAGGUUUGCCAUUGAACUCUUACUGGAUUGGGAAUUAUAGUGGCGGUACUAGGUUUCGAGUGGAGGAGGCUACUAGGUACACCACGAAGGUUUAUUUAUGGCUUAUGCUGGUUUUUCAGUGGGGAAGCUAUAUAGCUUGUCAUGCUUGGGUAAAACUUGAGUUGGACGACUUGAUUCCCGUCAGUUGCCGUCUGGGACAGGCUCCUUACGCUAAGGAAGAAGAAGAACAAGAAGAAAGCAAGCUCUGCUUGGCGAUGACCGUGAAGCUUCAAUAUGACCUCAAAGCAAGAUUCUGAAAGUCAGUCAAGUACCCGACGGCUCCGGUGUUCGAAGACCUCCACCACGAAUGACCACCCGUGAGGAUAACAACGACAUUCGACGAGCAGCAUAAGAAGAUCCUUUUACCAAUACUAUUGCUAUUUGUGAACGUCUGGCAUUAAAUGUUUAGGCUAUGACGGAGCGAAGACGUCUGCAUGAGGCAGGAAUACCUCAUAGAAUUCUUGCCAAGAAGGAAUUUCUCGGCAUCGUGAUGAUAGGCUUGCCUUCGUUCAAGGGUUUGUGGGGGAGGAUAUGGAAUUUUGGUCUCGAGUCGUAUGCAGUGACGAAAGGUCUUUUACUAGCAGAAGUCACGGCAGAAUACAUAACCGAAGACCGAGUAAUAUAAGAUACUACAGAAGAAAUUUACGAGGUGACCAGGAAUGGGCAUGUCACAGUAAACGUGUGGGGCUGGAUCUUCUUACAUUAUAUGGAUGAUAUCACCAGGAUUGAGUGAAGGCUCACUGGUGAAAAAUACAUUGAAAUUCUUCAGGAUUUCUAACUUCUUGCACUUCAACAGCGGAAUUAUUCCUCCCCACAUGCUCCUGUCAUUUUCAUUCACGACCGCUGCCCCAUCCAUACGGCCAGAAUAGUCCAGGAAUGGUUUCAAGGUCGAGAGGAUCUGCAGUUGCUUGACUGGCCAAGUAAGGAUACAGACAUGAACCUCAUUAAGAAUAUUUAGGCUAAUUUGGUAAAAUGUUGGGAGCCUGAGAGGGAGAGGAGACCAGAUCAACUUAUGAACCUCUGGGAACACAAUGGAAACUCUUCCACAACCGACCACAGAUCGUUAGAAACCAUAUUUCUUCUAUGCCUAACAGAUUGCAAGAGGUGAUCUAGAAGGAAGGUGGCUGGACUUCUCACUAAUAUUAAAAAUAAAUGUAAAAAUUGAGUGUAUAUAUUUGGAUUACCCCAUGGCUUCCGCUGAACUUCCAUGUCGUAUGAUGUAAAAGAAAACAAA
Long non-coding RNA from Macrobrachium nipponense, 1348 nucleotides. RefSeq lists it as uncharacterized. The record is from RefSeq and is a predicted model, not a curated record. NCBI's taxonomy places the organism in Eukaryota, Metazoa, Arthropoda, Malacostraca, Decapoda, Palaemonidae. The transcript is spliced from 6 exons.